This 733-nucleotide ribosomal RNA is filed under the name uncultured bacterium. RNAcentral describes it as "bacterial SSU rRNA". It matches the Rfam family "Bacterial small subunit ribosomal RNA", at positions 61 to 763 of the family's 1533-position model. The record is from RNAcentral.
GUCGAACGAGAGGACUGGGAAGCUUGCUUCCUAUGAAAUCGAGUGGCAAACGGGUGAGUAACGCGUAAACAACCUGCCCUUCGGAUGGGGAUAACAGCCGGAAAUGGCUGCUAAUACCGAAUACGAUCUUUUCGUCGCAUGACGGAAAGAAGAAAGGAUGGCCUCUAUACAAAGCUAUCGCCGAAGGAGGGGUUUGCGUCUGAUUAGCUGGUUGGAGGGGUAACGGCCCAACAAGGCGAUGAUCAGUAGCCGGUCUGAGAGGAUGAACGGCCACAUUGGGACUGAGACACGGCCCAGACUCCUACGGGAGGCAGCAGUGGGGAAUCUUCCGCAAUGGACGAAAGUCUGACGGAGCAACGCCGCGUGAGUGAAGAAGGUCUUCGGAUUGUAAAGCUCUGUUAUACGGGACGAAAAAGACGGAUGCCAACAGUAUCCGUCCGUGACGGUACCGUAAGAGAAAGCCACGGCUAACUACGUGCCAGCAGCCGCGGUAAUACGUAGGUGGCAAGCGUUGUCCGGAAUUAUUGGGCGUAAAGGGCGCGCAGGCGGUUCGGUAAGUCUGUCUUAAAAGUGCGGGGCUUAACCCCGUGAGGGGACGGAAACUGUCGAACUUGAGUGUCGGAGAGGAAAGCGGAAUUCCUAGUGUAGCGGUGAAAUGCGUAGAUAUUAAGAGGAACACCGGUGGCGAAAGCGGCUUUCUGGACGACAACUGACGCUGAGGCGCGAAAGCGUG